GAUGAACGCUGGCGGUAUGCUUAACACAUGCAAGUCGAACGGACUCUUCGGAGUUAGUGGCGGACGGGUGAGUAACGCGUGAGAAUCUGGCUUUGGGUUCGGGACAACCACUGGAAACGGUUGCUAAUACCGGAUGUGCCGAGAGGCGAAAGAGAAAUUGCCUGAAGAUGAGCUCGCGUCUGAUUAGCUAGUUGGUGGGGUAAAGGAUCACCAAGGCAGCGAUCAGUAGCUGGUCUGAGAGGGUGACCAGCCACACUGGGACUGAGACACGGCCCAGACCCCUACGGGAGGCAGCAGUGGGGAAUUUUCCGCAAUGGGCGAGAGCCUGACGGAGCAAUACCGCGUGAGGGAAGAAGGCUCUUGGGUUGUAAACCUCUUUUCUUAGGGAAGAACAAAAUGACGGUACCUAAGGAAUCAGCAUCGGCUAACUCCGUG
Molecule: ribosomal RNA, 435 nt
Filed under: uncultured bacterium
Lineage: Bacteria
Description: partial 16S ribosomal RNA
Rfam family: Bacterial small subunit ribosomal RNA
Source: RNAcentral